GGUCUUUGUAUAUUUCGAUGAUUUUCUUUUAGAAAAUAACGACAUUCUUUGACAUAAACCCAGUUCAUAAACUUUCUGCUCAGACACUGGUAACGUUUUAUAAAGACCGAGUAGCAGAUUUAAUCUUAGACUUGAAUACUGAAUGAAUUGGAAAUGCGAAAGGUAAUUGUGUCAUCAUUUACAUGUCACAGAACUAAGUACCGGUACUGUGAUAUUCAUUUAUUUUCGUGGUUUAAGGAAAACUUUCAUGUUCGUUGAUAUUUAAUUCAAUAGUUUUGAAGAACUCUGCAUACAAGCCUAUAUGAACUUUGUGAUUCGUUGAACAUUUAAUUUCGUGGUUAAUCUGUACUAAUAAAAUCCACGAAAACUGAUAUCGAACAAAUAUCAAUGAAUACAGUACAUUAAAUUCCUACAAACCACUUACACAUGAACUCACGUUCGUAUCAGCGUCAUAAGGCGUAUAUAGUAUAGUUCUACAGCAGUCCAAGACCUCAAAAUUGAAAGCAACCGUAAGCUAAAUAAAACGUGACCUCAUCUGUGGUACAGAAUCAUGGCUCAAAGGAUAAAAAAUAGGUGAAAACCAUUAUUAAAGAUGCAAUUAAAUCGAGCGAAGUAUUCCUAAAUGAUUGUACCACCUAUAGAAACGACAGGGGAACGAUUUGUUGGGUGUGGUGGUCAUAUCAGUAGAACAAAAAUAGCACCAAUCCCAACAGUUAUCUUCUAAACAUCAAGACACUGGAAUAGUUAUCAAAGGUACCAGGAUUAUAAUUUAGUACCCAGACGCGCGGCGUCUACAUAAGACUCAUCAUGACGCUCAGAUCAAAAUAGUUAUAAACCUAGACAAGUACUAAGUUGAAGAGCGUUGAGGACCCAAAAUUCUAAAAAGUGGUGCCAAAUACGGCUAAGGUAAUCUAUUCCUGGGAUAAGAAAAUCCUUAGUUUUUCGAAAAAUUCAAAGUUUUGUAACAGGAAUUUUUUAAACAAAUGACCAUAUACAUGUUAUGAUAUUCAUGUCAACACCGAAGUGCUGACUACUGGGAUGGUGAUACUCUCGGGGACGAAACGUCCACCAGCAGUGGUAUCGACCCAGUAGUGUAAAUAGUUAUCAAAGGUACCAGGAUCAUAAUUUAGUACGCCAGAUGCGCCUUUCGUCUACACAAGACUCAUCAGUGACACUCAGAUCAAAAUAAUUAUAAACCUAAACAAGUACAAAGUUGAAGAGCAUUGAGGACCCAAAACUACCUGAAUGCGGACUCAUUUAAAACAUUCUUGUGUUUUCAAAAAAGAGAGG
This 1290-nucleotide long non-coding RNA is filed under the name Mytilus galloprovincialis (Mediterranean mussel). The record is from RNAcentral. Lineage: Eukaryota; Metazoa; Mollusca; Bivalvia; Mytilida; Mytilidae.